UCUACGGGAGGCAGCAGUAGGGAAUCUUCCGCAAUGGGCGAAAGCCUGACGGAGCACCGCCGCGUGAGUGAUGAAGGUUUUCGGAUCGUAAAGCUCUGUGCGCAGGGAAGAACGUUUUGCUUGACUAGUCUGCUAGAGACAGUGAGCGGAACCGUGUGAACGAACGACACCGCCUACCCC
This 180-nucleotide ribosomal RNA is filed under the name uncultured Paenibacillus sp. Its description in RNAcentral is "partial 16S ribosomal RNA". It matches the Rfam family "Bacterial small subunit ribosomal RNA", at positions 338 to 504 of the family's 1533-position model. Lineage: Bacteria; Bacillati; Bacillota; Bacilli; Caryophanales; Paenibacillaceae. The record is from RNAcentral.